Molecule: ribosomal RNA, 449 nt
Filed under: uncultured bacterium
Lineage: Bacteria
Description: partial 16S ribosomal RNA
Rfam family: Bacterial small subunit ribosomal RNA
Source: RNAcentral
AACGAACGCUGGCGGCAGGCCUAACACAUGCAAGUCGAACGAACCGUUUACGGUGAGUGGCGCACGGGUGAGUAACACGUGGGAAUAUACAUUUCGGUAAGGAAUAACGUAGAGAAAUUUACGCUAAUACCUUAUAAUGACUACGGUCCAAAGAUUUAUCGCCGAAGGAUUAGCCCGCGUUAGAUUAGGUAGUUGGUAGGGUAAUGGCCUACCAAGCCUACGAUCUAUAGCUGGUCUUAGAGGAUGAUCAGCCACACUGGAACUGAGACACGGUCCAGACUCCUACGGGAGGCAGCAGUGAGGAAUAUUGCGCAAUGGGGGAAACCCUGACGCAGCCAUGCCGCGUGAGUGACGAAGGCCUUAGGGUUGUAAAGCUCUUCCAGAUGUAAAGAUAAUGACGGUAACAUCAGAGGAAGCUCCGGCUAAAUUCGUGCCAGCAGCCGCCGUAA